Bufo bufo (common toad) is the source of this 191-nucleotide long non-coding RNA. RefSeq lists it as uncharacterized. The transcript is spliced from 4 exons. The record is from RefSeq and is a predicted model, not a curated record. NCBI's taxonomy places the organism in Eukaryota, Metazoa, Chordata, Amphibia, Anura, Bufonidae.
GCAGUUUACAGUAACACCCCAUAUGUGGUCAUAAACUGCUGUACGGGCACACAGCAGGGCGCAGAAGGAAAGGAACGCCAUUUUGUUUUUGGAAGACAGAUUUAGCUGGAUUGGUUUUUAGACACCAAGUCCCACUUGAAGCCCCCUGGAUGCACCUUACUGUAGAUCAAUAAUAAAAAAGUUAUCCAUUU